Molecule: ribosomal RNA, 194 nt
Filed under: Scutellospora sp. RAb3
Lineage: Eukaryota; Fungi; Glomeromycota; Glomeromycetes; Diversisporales; Gigasporaceae
Description: partial small subunit ribosomal RNA
Rfam family: Eukaryotic small subunit ribosomal RNA
Source: RNAcentral
GUCUCAAAGAUUAAGCCAUGCAUGUCUAAGUAUAAAUCAUUUAUACAGGUGAAACUGCGAAUGGCUCAUUAAGUCAGUUAUAGUUUAUUUGAUAGUACAAUUACUACUUGGAUAACCGUGGUAAUUCUAGAGCUAAUACAUGCUAAAAGUCUCGACUUCUGGAAGGGACGUAUUUAUUAGAUAAAAACCAAUAA